RNAcentral lists this long non-coding RNA (2119 nucleotides) under Lonchura striata (white-rumped munia). RNAcentral describes it as "domestica (Bengalese finch) lncRNA (ENSLSDG00000008152.1)". Lineage: Eukaryota; Metazoa; Chordata; Aves; Passeriformes; Estrildidae. The record is from RNAcentral.
AUGGUGACGAUGAUGAUGACCAACGACGGUGACGAUGAUGAGCCGUGGCAACGGCCAACAAUGACAACAGUGAUGAUGAUGAUGACAGUGCCAGAUGAUGAAGAUGACGACACCAAUGACGAUGACAAUGACGGUGAAGACGAUACCAGUGAUGACACUGAUGACGAUGAUGACACCAAUGACGUUGACAAUGACACCGAUGACAAUGAUGAUGACAAUGACGGUGAAGACGAUACCAAUGAUGACACUGAUGACGAUGAUGACACCAAUGACGAUGAUGAAGAUGACGCCGAUGAUGAUGAAGAUGACACCGAUGAUGAUGAAGAUGACACCAAUGACGAUGAUGAAGAUGACACCAAUGAUGAUGAAGAUGACACCAAUGAUGAUGAAGAUGACACCAAUGAUGAUGAUGAAGAUGACACCAAUGACGAUGAUGAAGAUGACGACGAUGAUGAUGAAGAUGACACCGAUGACGAUGAUGAAGAUGACACCGAUGACGAUGAUGAAGAUGACACCGAUGACGAUGAUGAAGAUGAUACCAAUGACGAUGAAGAUGACACCGAUGGCGAUGAAGAUGACACCAAUGACGAUGAUGAAGAUGACACCGAUGACAAUGAAGAUGACACCAAUGACGAUGAUGAAGAUGACGAUGAAGAUGACUCCAAUGACGAUGAUGAAGAUGACACCAAUGACGAUGAUGAAGAUGACACCGAUGAUGAUGAAGAUGACGCCGCCACCGCCGCGGCCCCGCCUGGCCCAGCCCCUCCCCCCCCGCAUGUUUAUUUAACUCUUUCCUGCUCUUUUCUCCCNGGUUUUGGGGGAAUUCCUGCGGUUUUCGGGGAAUUCCCGCGGUUUUCGGGGAAUUCCUGUGGUUUUGGGGGAAUUCCUGCGGUUUUCGGGGAAUUCCCGCGGUUUUCGGGGAAUUCCUGUGGUUUUGGGGGAAUUCCUGCGGUUUUGGGGGAAUUCCCGCGGUUUUCGGGGAAUUCCCGCAGUUUUCGGGGAAUUCCUGCGGUUUUCGGGGAAUUCCCGCAGUUUUCGGGGAAUUCCUGCAGUUUUUGGGAACGUCGGGUCGGCCGGAGGCGGCUCCCGGUGGUCGCGGCUCCGGGAGCGCAGCGGUGACGGUGGCAACGAUGACGAUGACGAUGACCAACAGUGGUGAUGGUGACAAUGGCCAUGGCCAAUGAUGGUGACAAUGACCGUGGCCAACAAAGUUGACAUUGACCAACAAUGGUGACAAUGACCAAUGAUGGUGACAAUGGCCAACUAUGGUGACAAUGGCCAUGGGCAACGAUGGUGACGAUGACAAUGACCAAUGAUGGUGACAAUGACCAAUGAUGGUGACAAUGACCAACUGUGGUGACAAUGGCCAACUAUGGUGACAAUGGCCAUGGGCAACGAUGGUGACGAUGACAAUGACCAACUAUGGUGACAAUGGCCAUGGCCAACAAUAGUGACGAUGACCAACAAUGGUGACAAUGACGAUGACCAACGACGGUGACGAUGAUGAGCCGUGGCAACGGCCAACAAUGACAACAGUGAUGAUGAUGAUGACAGUGCCAGAUGAUGAAGAUGAUGACACCAAUGAUGAUGACAAUGACGGUGAAGACGAUACCAAUGAUGAUGACACUGAUGACGAUGACACCAAUGACGUUGACAAUGACACCAAUGACGAUGAUGACACCAAUGAUGGUGACAAUGACACCGAUGACGAUGAUGAUGACAAUGAUGUUGACAAUGACACCAAUGAUGACAAUGACACUGAUGAUGAUGACAAUGACGAUGAAGAAGACGACACCGAUGAUGACAAUGACGAUGACACCGAUGACGACAAUGAUGACAAUGACACUGAUGAUGACAAUGACACCGAUGACGAUGAUGACACCGAUGAUGUUGACAAUGACACCAAUGAUGACAAUGACACUGAUGAUGAUGACAAUGACGAUGAAGACAAUGACACCGAUGAUGAUGAUGACGAUGACACCGAUGAUGACAAUGAUGACAAUGACACUGAUGAUGAUGACAAUGACGAUGGAGACCAGGAUGACACCAAUGGUGAUGGUGAUGAUGACAAUGACAAUGAAGACAACAAUGACACUGAUGAUGAUGAUGAUGAUGAAGA